GAUGAACGCUGGCGGCGUGCUUAACACAUGCCAGUCGAACGAUGAAGCCCAGCUUGCUGGGUGGAUUAGUGGCGAACGGGUGAGUAACACGUGAGUAACCUGCCCUUAACUCUGGGAUAAGCCUGGGAAACUGGGUCUAAUACCGGAUAGGAGCGUCCACCGCAUGGUGGGUGUUGGAAAGAUUUAUCGGUUUUGGAUGGACUCGCGGCCUAUCAGCUUGUUGGUGAGGUAAUGGCUCACCAAGGCGACGACGUGUAGCCGGCCUGAGAGGGUGACCGGCCACACUGGGACUGAGACACGGCCCAGACUCCUACGGGAGGCAGCAGUGGGGAAUAUUGCACAAUGGGCGCAAGCCUGAUGCAGCGACGCCGCGUGAGGGAUGACGGCCUUCGGGUUGUAAACCUCUUUCAGUAGGGAAGAAGCGAAAGUGACGGUACCUGCAGAAGAAGCACCGGCUAACUACGUG
RNAcentral lists this ribosomal RNA (466 nucleotides) under uncultured bacterium. RNAcentral describes it as "partial 16S ribosomal RNA". It matches the Rfam family "Bacterial small subunit ribosomal RNA", at positions 28 to 507 of the family's 1533-position model. The record is from RNAcentral.